UACGUAGGGGGCAAGCGUUGUCCGGAUUUAUUGGGCGUAAAGAGCGUGUAGGCGGCCUGGAAGGUCAGCUGUGAAAACUCGAGGCUCAACCUCGAGACGUCGGUUGAAACCACCUGGCUAGAGUCCGGAAGAGGAGAGUGGAAUUCCUGGUGUAGCGGUGGAAUGCGCAGAUAUCAGGAGGAACACCGGUGGCGAAGGCGGGUCUCUGGGCAGUAACUGACGCUGAGGAGCGAAAGCGUGGGGAGCGAACAGG
RNAcentral lists this ribosomal RNA (253 nucleotides) under uncultured bacterium. RNAcentral describes it as "partial 16S ribosomal RNA". It matches the Rfam family "Bacterial small subunit ribosomal RNA", at positions 524 to 776 of the family's 1533-position model. The record is from RNAcentral.